Drosophila ananassae is the source of this 680-nucleotide long non-coding RNA. RefSeq lists it as uncharacterized. Lineage: Eukaryota; Metazoa; Arthropoda; Insecta; Diptera; Drosophilidae. The record is from RefSeq and is a predicted model, not a curated record. The transcript has 2 exons.
AAUUGUAUAAAAGCCGGCCCCCCGGUGGAGAAAAUUCAGUUAUAUCAUUGGCUUGGAGCUGAAAGGUAGGCCUCCAGCCUGGAGGCUCAGGCCAUGAGGACUUUCCAUUGGGGAGGUUGCCGUCCAAGAUGAAGGAGAACAACUAACGUAGCAAAUACAAACACUAUCGCUUCGAUCCGGAUCGGCACCGGCACCGAAUAUCCCCGAAGGCGUCACCAUAACUCAUCAACCAGGAAAAGACAAGGAUAAGUCAGCCUCAAGGCUAGACCACAAGUCUGGUAAACUAGAACCGACAAGACAGAAGACUAGGACAAGCCAGACCAAGCCGAAUAGCCAUAGAAGAUGACUUACAAGACCAGGACAAUUCUGGUCAGGAGGCAAGACAGAAGACUAGGAUCAAAGGCCAAGAUUCCAGACGAUUCCAGGAUUAGAGGACCAGGGCAAGAGACCACCAAAUCAAGCCAGGUCCCUACGACCAGGAUCAGGACAAGCCAGACCAAGGGACAAUACAAAACCAAGACUAACCAGCCCCCUAAGACCAGACAUGGACGGCAAAGGGGGCUGAUAUUGGAGGAGUAACAUCCUCCUAGUAAUUAAUCUAUUAAUUAAUUCCAGUGACGAAGAAGACAAAGAGUGAAGAAAAGAAUUAUAAAUAAAAAUAGUAUAAAUUUUUCAAAUAA